Molecule: long non-coding RNA, 2697 nt
Organism: Anopheles coluzzii
Lineage: Eukaryota; Metazoa; Arthropoda; Insecta; Diptera; Culicidae
Exons: 3
Source: RefSeq, a predicted model, not a curated record
UCAAGGCUAAAUAAGGCAGACUUAAAACUAAAUAAACCCUAACAAAUAAACAAAAUAAUUCAAGAAAAACUAAGCCUAACUAAACUAGUCUAGACCUAGCAAAAAAAUUAAAGAAAAAAAAACAAAGGUAGAGCGUAGAGACUAUCAAAACUUAAUGAAACUUAGAAGAAUAAUUAAAGAGAAUUAGAAGAAAAAAUACGGUUACGGAAAGAGUUGAGAGAGGAGUCGAAAUCAAAGAGAUAGUAAAAGUGGUUAAACAACUUGAAACAGGAUAGAAUAGGAUCAUUGAAAGUAUAAAGAGUAUGACGUGUUUCAAUUGACAGAGGAUCACGUGGACGAAGGGAACGAGAGGGAACAUACAACGAGAUGGACGAGAGUAAAUCAGGAGCAUCAGUAUCAGAAAGUAAUAAGCCACCAAUAAAACAUGCCUGAGACACUUGGCGGCGGAAGCUUAAAGAGUGAAGAUUGAAUAACUGCAAUCGCGUUUCAUAGGGAGGUAGUGAGGCAGCACCGAACAAACGACGAAAAGCAACCCUGGUAAAAAGGCGCUGAAUGGUAAAAAGAGCGCUCUGGUCUAGUGCAGGCAGUUUUCUGCAGUCCACGGUGAUACUACACACAGCCACGCACUUGGCGAUACACGCUGUGUGGUGCGGUGCGGUGGACGUUCAGAAUUCAGUGGUGCAAAUACACACAUGCACACACUUGGCGACACACGCUCUGCUGUGCGGUGAGGUUUGUGUUCUGUGUCCAGUGGUGCAAAUAUACACACACACACGUACUUGGCUACACACGCAGUACGGCGCGGUUGGCUUGACAGAAGCGCAUACACACAUUCACGCAGUAGGCUUUACUUUCAGUCCAGUGAGGUUGGUGCUCGUGUGGUGUUUCAGCGCUUGGCGGAUAAACCCCGUAAAAAAUGGAGUUUUGUUUAAUUUGAGGUAAGUAAAAGUGAUUAAAAUUAUCAACCAACAUCCCCCCUUCUAAUUAAUAUCAUUUUUCUUCCAUUUCAUGUGUGUUUCACGGCGAACGGAGACAUCAAAAACCUUUGGCUGUGUCGUAGUGUUGGAGCAGUGGCCCGUACAGUGCAGCGAGAAAAACCAGGAGCAACAGCGAUGAGGAGCAGAAAGUGCUGUGCUGAAUUUGUUUUUUUUCACUGUGCGAGUGUAAAAAGUGUUUUUUUUUUAAAUUAUGUGCGUUGAUUUAGAAUUAAGUGCAGUGAUUGUUGUGCAAGUGUUGUGUUUUUUUUUGUAUUCUAUGUAGGUUCGAUAUUCAAUAAAUCGAAUUACGAUAGUAUAAUGGUGUGCACUGUAUCAUUUCGGAAAGAAAUCCUGGCAAAAAAGGGGGAGGGGACUAAUUAAACGAAGGUUCGUGCAGACCCCCGUUCGGGUUUUGCUUCGGCUUCGGGUUUGCUUCGGCUUCGGGACCCGACGGAUCACUUGAAUAAUUUCGCCAACUCAAGUUCUUUUUCAAGCGCGUAUUCAAGCGAUCUCUGAGUGCUGGUGCCCGGUGGGUACCCAACAGUCAAAAGCCGAAGAUUUUAUAUUGACCUUUCACUUUUUCUAUCUGUCUCUCGCUCUAAUUUGAGCGAUUUUCCCCUGAUGAGUGUCCCCGAGCCUCCUCGUGUGGUUGUUGUUGUUGGAAGUUGAAACCGAACCCCCUUCGUGCGCUGCCAAAAUCAGCGAAGAACGAAAUCGAGUGGCUCAAGCGAAAAAACGAAAAAAAAUGACGAACGAGCCCAGAUAGCAAAGCCGAAGGCCUUUGUAUGGGAGCCAUCGCGCUCAUCAAGGCUCACUUUUUCGCGCGCAUAAAGCAAAAUGUGCGCGAAGGCGAAAAAAAAACCCGAAAGCGCUUCGUGUCCUCUCUCCCCUCCCAACAAUGGCACUCAAAUUCUCUCAUUUUCUCAUGCCCUCUCUGUCACAUUCGUAGCUCGAUCUCCUUCUUCUGGGACUUAGCGUUCUGAGCAUGCGGUUUUUGCAACGGCCAUUUCGUGCCGCUUCGAUCUCAUCACCUUCUCUCCCCUCCCACCCCCCUUUUUGAUCCACACUUUGGGGCUUGCAAAUUUUUGACAUGUCAAAUGAGAGUGAAGCCAAAAUGUAAACAGCAAGUGUUUGCGUGUGCGGCGAUCUUGAUGUGAUUUGUGCCAUAUAACCUUUUCUGACGGGGAUUCUUUAGUCGACAUCGUCUGCAGCUGUUAAGCGGUGCAGAGGAAGGGGCUCGCUACGACCCUUCCCACACCCGGACGCUUUUUCCGGGGAUGAAGGAAAUGUUCCCGGCUAUAUGCGCAAAAUCUAACGGUAACCCGUGUUGUGAACGAAUCGGCAUAUGCGGUGCCGGACACUGUGGAAAUUGUACACAACGGGACGAUGUCCAGGCACGACACAAGAGUACGAUUACAUGCAACUGAUCUGCUGCAAGGAAAGGAUUUCGACGUGUGGAACAAGGAUGUGCUGAAUGCGUUCCUGAUCGAUAUCACGUGGAUAAUUCUACUGCGACUAUAAGGGAUACUUGCUGGAUUGUAUUCGUGACAGGGCCGGCCAGAAGGGUGUGGGCAAGUUGACGGAAAUUGUCGCAAUGUACCAUAGCGUUCCGGUGAUGCCAAAAGACGAAGCAGACUUCUCCAGCUACUUAUCCACGCCGAAGGAUGAACGUGCUCAGGGCAGCAAACAACUCGCCGGAGCACGGAGCGCGAAAGGCAUC